This 545-nucleotide ribosomal RNA is filed under the name uncultured bacterium. RNAcentral's name for it is "bacterial SSU rRNA". It matches the Rfam family "Bacterial small subunit ribosomal RNA", at positions 8 to 571 of the family's 1533-position model. The record is from RNAcentral.
AGAGUUUGAUCAUGGCUCAGGACGAACGCUGGCGGCAUGCCUAACACAUGCAAGUCGAACGAGAAAGUUCCUUCGGGAGCAAUUAAAGUGGCGCACGGGUGAGUAACGCGUAGACAAUCUGCCCUUCAGUCUGGGACAACUUUUCGAAAGGAGAGCUAAUACCGGAUAACAAUGCAUGACACAAGUUGUAUAUUUGAAAGCUUUAUGUGCUGAAGGAGGGGUCUGCGUCCCAUUAGCUAGUUGGUAGGGUAAAGGCUUACCAAGGCAACGAUGGGUAGCGGGUUUGAGAGGUCGAUCCGCCACACUGGAACUGAGACACGGUCCAGACUCCUACGGGAGGCAGCAGUGGGGAAUAUUGCACAAUGGAGGAAACUCUGAUGCAGCAAUGUCGCGUGAGUGAAGAAGGCCCUUGGGUCGUAAAGCUCUUUUAUGGGGGAAGAUGAUGACGGUACCCCAAGAAUAAGCACCGGCUAACUAUGUGCCAGCAGCCGCGGUAAUACAUAGGGUGCGAGCGUUGUUCGGAAUUACUGGGCGUAAAGGGCGCG